CCGGCACGGGUGAGUAACACGUAUGCAAUCCACCUGUAACAGGGGGAUAACCCGGAGAAAUCCGGACUAAUACCCCAUAAUAUGGGCGCUCCGCAUGGAGAGCCCAUUAAAGAGAGCAAUUUUGGUUACAGACGAGCAUGCGCUCCAUUAGCCAGUUGGCGGGUAACGGCCCACCAAAGCGACGAUGGAUAGGGGUUCUGAGAGGAAGGCCCCCACAUUGGAACUGAGACACGGUCCAA
Molecule: ribosomal RNA, 239 nt
Filed under: uncultured bacterium
Lineage: Bacteria
Description: partial 16S ribosomal RNA
Rfam family: Bacterial small subunit ribosomal RNA
Source: RNAcentral